AACGUGCCCAGAUCUACGGAAUAGCCACUGGAAACGGUGAGUAAUACCGUAUACGCCCUUUGGGGGAAAGAUUUAUCGGAUUUGGAUCGGCCCGCGUUAGAUUAGGUAGUUGGUGGGGUAACGGCCUACCAAGCCUACGAUCUAUAGCUGGUUUUAGAGGAUGAUCAGCAACACUGGGACUGAGACACGGCCCAGACUCCUACGGGAGGCAGCAGUGGGGAAUCUUGGACAAUGGGGGCAACCCUGAUCCAGCCAUGCCGCGUGAGUGAAGAAGGCCCUAGGGUCGUAAAACUCUUUCGCCUGUGAUGAUAAUGACAGUAGCAGGUAAAGAAACCCCGGCUAACUCCGUGCCAGCAGCCGCGGUAAUACGGAGGGGGUUAGCGU
RNAcentral lists this ribosomal RNA (384 nucleotides) under uncultured bacterium. RNAcentral describes it as "bacterial SSU rRNA". It matches the Rfam family "Bacterial small subunit ribosomal RNA", at positions 123 to 541 of the family's 1533-position model. The record is from RNAcentral.